This 439-nucleotide ribosomal RNA is filed under the name uncultured bacterium. Its description in RNAcentral is "partial 16S ribosomal RNA". It matches the Rfam family "Bacterial small subunit ribosomal RNA", at positions 339 to 795 of the family's 1533-position model. The record is from RNAcentral.
CUACGGGCCGCUGCAGUGGGGAAUCUUGCACAAUGGGGGAAACUCUGAUGCAGCGAUGCCGCGUGAGUGAAGAAGGCCCUUGGGUUGUAAAGCUCUUUUGUCGGGAAAGAUAAUGACUGUACCCGAAGAAUAAGGUCCGGCUAACUUCGUGCCAGCAGCCGCGGUAAUGCGAAGGGACCUAGCGUAAUUCGGAAUUACUGGGCGUAAAGCGCGCGUAGGCGGUUAAGUAAGUUAAUUGUGAAAGCCCAAAGCUCAACUUUGGAAUUGUAAUUAAAACUACUUAGCUAGAGUUUAUCAGAGGAAAGCGGAAUACAUAGUGUAGAGGUGAAAUUCGUAGAUAUUAUGUAGAACACCAGUUGCGAAGGCGGCUUUCUGGGAUAGCACUGACGCUGAGGUGCGAAAGUAUGGGUAGCGAAGAGGAUUAGAUACCCUAGUAGUC